RNAcentral lists this ribosomal RNA (460 nucleotides) under uncultured bacterium. Its description in RNAcentral is "partial 16S ribosomal RNA". It matches the Rfam family "Bacterial small subunit ribosomal RNA", at positions 338 to 795 of the family's 1533-position model. The record is from RNAcentral.
CCUACGGGCGGCAGCAGUGGGGAAUAUUGGUCAAUGGGCGUAAGCCUGAACCAGCGAAGCCGCGUGAGGGAAGAAGGAUCUCUGGUUGUUAAACUCCGUUUGUAGGGGAGUAAGGUUAUCCAGGUCUUGAUCUUUGAAUUUACCCUAUCUAUAAGCAUCGGAUAACUCCGUGCCAGCAGCCGCGGUAAUACGGAGGAUGCGAGCGUUAUCCGGAUUUAUUGGGUGUAAAGGGAGCGUAGGCUGGUUUGUAAGUCAGCGGUGAAAGUUUGUGGCUCAACCAUAAAAUUGCCGUUGAAACUGGAAGACUUGAGUGUGUUAGAGGUAGGCGGAAUGCGUGGUGUAGCGGUGAAAUGCGUAGAUAUCAGGAAGAACUCCGAUUGCGAAGGCAGCUUACUGGGCCAUAACUGACGCUGAGGCACGAAAGCGUGGGGAUCAAACAGGAUUAGAUACCCUUGUAGUC